This 253-nucleotide ribosomal RNA is filed under the name uncultured bacterium. RNAcentral describes it as "partial 16S ribosomal RNA". It matches the Rfam family "Bacterial small subunit ribosomal RNA", at positions 524 to 776 of the family's 1533-position model. The record is from RNAcentral.
UACGAAGGGAGCUAGCGUUGUUCGGAAUCACUGGGCGUAAAGCGCACGUAGGCGGAUGUGCCAGUCAGGGGUGAAAUCCCGGAGCUCAACUCCGGAACUGCCUCUGAUACAGCACGUCUUGAGUCCGGAGGAGGUGGGUGGAAUUCCUAGUGUAGAGGUGAAAUUCGUAGAUAUUAGGAAGAACACCGGUGGCGAAGGCGGCCCACUGGUCCGGUACUGACGCUGAGGUGCGAAAGCGUGGGGAGCAAACAGG